Non-coding RNA from Phrynosoma platyrhinos (Desert horned lizard), 72 nucleotides. Lineage: Eukaryota; Metazoa; Chordata; Lepidosauria; Squamata; Phrynosomatidae. The record is from the annotation of a GenBank genome assembly.
GCCAGUGUGGCACAGUGGCUUGAGUAUUGGGGUAUGAUUCUGGAGACCAGGGUUCGAAUCCCAGCUCAGCCA